Molecule: ribosomal RNA, 686 nt
Filed under: uncultured Bacillus sp.
Lineage: Bacteria; Bacillati; Bacillota; Bacilli; Caryophanales; Bacillaceae
Description: bacterial SSU rRNA
Rfam family: Bacterial small subunit ribosomal RNA
Source: RNAcentral
CGAACUGAUUAGAAGCUUGCUUCUAUGACGUUAGCGGCGGACGGGUGAGUAACACGUGGGCAACCUGCCUGUAAGACUGGGAUAACUUCGGGAAACCGAAGCUAAUACCGGAUAGGAUCUUCUCCUUCAUGGGAGAUGAUUGAAAGAUGGUUUCGGCUAUCACUUACAGAUGGGCCCGCGGUGCAUUAGCUAGUUGGUGAGGUAACGGCUCACCAAGGCAACGAUGCAUAGCCGACCUGAGAGGGUGAUCGGCCACACUGGGACUGAGACACGGCCCAGACUCCUACGGGAGGCAGCAGUAGGGAAUCUUCCGCAAUGGACGAAAGUCUGACGGAGCAACGCCGCGUGAGUGAUGAAGGCUUUCGGGUCGUAAAACUCUGUUGUUAGGGAAGAACAAGUACGAGAGUAACUGCUCGUACCUUGACGGUACCUAACCAGAAAGCCACGGCUAACUACGUGCCAGCAGCCGCGGUAAUACGUAGGUGGCAAGCGUUAUCCGGAAUUAUUGGGCGUAAAGCGCGCGCAGGCGGUUUCUUAAGUCUGAUGUGAAAGCCCACGGCUCAACCGUGGAGGGUCAUUGGAAACUGGGGAACUUGAGUGCAGAAGAGAAAAGCGGAAUUCCACGUGUAGCGGUGAAAUGCGUAGAGAUGUGGAGGAACACCAGUGGCGAAGGCGGCUUUUUGGUC